AUUGAACGCUGGCGGCAUGCUUUACACAUGCAAGUCGAACGGUAACAGGCCUUCGGGUGCUGACGAGUGGCGAACGGGUGAGUAAUGCAUCGGAACGUACCCAGAGGUGGGGGAUAACGCAGCGAAAGCUGUGCUAAUACCGCAUGUGAUCUGAGGAUGAAAGCGGGGGACCGAGCAGCAAUGUUUGGCCUCGCGCCUUUGGAGCGGCCGAUGUCGGAUUAGCUAGUUGGUGGGGUAAAGGCCUACCAAGGCGACGAUCCGUAGCUGGUCUGAGAGGACGACCAGCCACACUGGGACUGAGACACGGCCCAGACUCCUACGGGAGGCAGCAGUGGGGAAUUUUGGACAAUGGGCGCAAGCCUGAUCCAGCAAUGCCGCGUGCGGGAAGAAGGCCUUCGGGUUGUAAACCGCUUUGGCAGGAACGAAACGGUGUCCGCUAAUACCGGGCGCUAAUGACGGUACCUGCAGAAUAAGCACCGGCUAACUACGUG
This 491-nucleotide ribosomal RNA is filed under the name uncultured bacterium. RNAcentral describes it as "partial 16S ribosomal RNA". It matches the Rfam family "Bacterial small subunit ribosomal RNA", at positions 29 to 507 of the family's 1533-position model. The record is from RNAcentral.